RNAcentral lists this long non-coding RNA (385 nucleotides) under Olea europaea (common olive). RNAcentral describes it as "long non-coding RNA (OEUR_LNC007850)". The record is from RNAcentral. Lineage: Eukaryota; Viridiplantae; Streptophyta; Magnoliopsida; Lamiales; Oleaceae.
ACGUAACCCAAAUUUGAAACCCUGUUUUUUAAUCUGUCCUUGGGACCUGUUCGACUAGCAUAAUUCUUGAUUUAUAGAAAAAACUACAACUGAGCUCCUGUAGAAUGAACUGAAGACAAAGACAGAAAAAUGAUAUGCCGUAUAAUUAACUAUUUUAAUAUGUCGAGAGUACAAAAAAUAGAAAAAAUCUAACAUUCAGCUAAAUAAUAUUUCUAAGAGAAAAUUUAUCCAGAAACACAAAAUUCAAAGCCCUAAAGGAGCUUUAUUCUUUACCGACUGAACAUUAAUUUCCGCAAGAAAAAACAAAAUGAAAUUACUUCGUAAACAUAAUCUAUAAGCGCAGCUCUAAUCCCCUAUGAUCUACGCGAAAUGAACCAAUUUCAAG